This is a long non-coding RNA of Cavia porcellus (domestic guinea pig), 5676 nucleotides long. RefSeq lists it as uncharacterized. Lineage: Eukaryota; Metazoa; Chordata; Mammalia; Rodentia; Caviidae. The transcript is spliced from 7 exons. The record is from RefSeq and is a predicted model, not a curated record.
GAGGGGCGGCAGCCUACUGGAUGUCUACGCAGGCAGGGUCGUGGGUCAGGCCUGCGACCAGAGCCUGGGGACCCCAGGCCGCUGCGAGGAGGAAGCGCCGAGGCGCCUGCCCAUUCCUGUUCGGGCCGCUUUCCUUCCUCCACUGCCGGCCCUUGUAGCUCCGCAGGGACUGGAGGGUGAGGCCGGCGCCGCUAAAGCGACUGAAAUCUGAGCUGAGCCGUCUGUAAGAAUGGAGAGUGAUCUGUCCUUCGCCGACCGCUGCAGGUGAUGAUGUUGCAGGGAGCCCUGGGAAGUAACUGCAGUGUGUGGAGGAGCUUUGCUGCCCAUCUCCUUGCAGCGUUGCUGGCUCAUCUGAAGAUCCACCCUUCCCUCAGAAGUCUUGCAGGAUCUACUCAAGCUUGAAAUAAUUACUCUCUUUCCUUGCUCCUGGGGCCUGCAGGGAAUACACACCAGGGGAUCAGCAGCCUGAGUUUUCCCCAAAGCCAAGUGACCUCAGCCAAAUGCCCUGAAAUUAGAGGCGUGUCUCUUACUGCUCCAUCUUGGCAGGGCUCGUUCCAGAACCCUAUUGGAGUUGCAGUGACCACAAGAAGCUACAUCUCAGCAGCCACCUGCUCUCAAAGCAUGUGAGUCAGGAUCAGGGUGAACUCAGCGUCUGCAGAGCUGAGCAAGGAGGUUGUGAGACAGGAUAUGACUGCAGCCAACACCUUCCCAUGAGCAGCUCUUCUUGACCAUUUCCUUCUGCCGUGCCAUCCUACUUUGGAAACAGCUGACUAUGGACUGAAAACUACAUACUGGUUACAAAAGAUUGUGACUUCCAUUCUGCUAAUACUCUCACACGCUCCCUCUGAUGAAUCCUACUGACAAGUUGUGAGGGGCUCUAUAGGAAGGCCCACAUGGCAAAGAAUCAAAAGAAGACCACCAGCUGCUGAGGAACUGAGACCUUAGUCCAAUACACAUAAAGACCUGAAUCCUGACAGCCACUAUGUGCAUGAACUCGGAAGCAGAUCCUCCAUGAUAGUCUUCAGAUGAGACUACAUCCCCAACUAACAACUUGAUUGUGGCCUAGUGACAAACUCUGAGCAGAAGAUAGCUAAGCCAUGUCCAAAUUCCUGAAAAUAUAUGUUUUAAGCUGCUGAAUUUAGAAGGGUGUAAUUUGUUAAUUUGUUAUGCACCUUGAUAGCUAAUUCAUCUUCCAAGACAUUAUUAUUUAUCUUCAUAAAUGUAUUAUUCUUACAUAUAUCUGUGUCUUAGUUACUUUUCUUGUUGCUAGGGCAAAAUACCCAACACCCAAAUUAGGGGAGGAAAUAUUUCUUUAGCUCACAGUUUGUGGAGGUUUCAGUUCAUAAUUUGCUGGCUCCAAGGCAGGGUGGCUUAUUGCAGAGGAGCAGCUGUUCAUGGCCACAGAAGACACCAAAAGCAAUAAGAGCAAAAGAGUAAAACAAGGCUUUUUCUUCCCUUUUUAUCUUAUCCAGACUUCUGGGAUUAGGGGAGUACUAAUCCAGUCAGUGGAUUGAUCAGCAACCACCAACCCUUAAUCCCAGCUCCCUUAAUCCUAGCACUGAACCAUAAUCAGUCACACACUCUAGAUUCAGCUAUUGCUGAAGAAAACCCACCCCACAGUGGAUGCAGUGAGGUUUUGGGGGGCAUCUAGACACAAACCAUAGCAAUCUUUAUAAAGACUUUACAUGUAUGUAUAUUGGUGGGGGUAAUUUGUGAAUUUGUUACGUACCAUGAUAACUAAUUCACCUAUGAGGUAACCAUUAUCUUAAAUGUGUUAUCAUUCUUAUACAUGUCUUGUACAUGUCUUUGUAUAUACAUUCACAUACACACAUUUGUAUGAAUAAUCUUCAUGCAUGUGUGUAUAUAAAAAUAUAUGGAAUGUUUUUAAAAUUCAUAUGGUGCUAUGAUAAUAUUUAUAUCCUGAAACUAGCUUUUCUGUUAUUCAUUUUCCUGAAACUAGCUUUUCUGUCAUUCAUUUUCCUGUUACCUCCACUCAGUCUUUUGCCUUCCAAGAGGUCUUUCUCUGUUUCAGCCACUAUGAGUUUUAGUCUCUUUCUCAGCUCAGACCUUGAUGUUCUGUUAAGUUUCCUGGCAAAAGUCCCAAGCUAGUGAAUUAAGCCCACUCUUAGACUAAGCUUAGCUUCUACAAAAAUCACACAGUAUCAUCUCAAUCAAACUAUAGUUGUAAGUUCUUCAAUAUUUCAUAGAUCCAUAUGCAUGGGUCAUCACUUUGAUUUCCUUCAACAGUAGUGCUUCUAUGUCAGUGUGUAUCUCAAAGUUUAAUGUUUAUAGUAAUUACAUGUACACUUUGUUAAAAUGUGAUUUUGAUUCACUUGGUCCACAAAUGGCCUACAUUUCUACAACACUUUUAGAUAUCACUGAUGCUCAAUGGGCCAUAUGAUUUAAAGUAAGAUUUCAGAAGUUAAAAAUCUAUUUAUUCACCAAAAAUUGCUUUAAUUUGACAAUAUAUAUUGGGCAGGAAUACAAGAACUUACAGCUAUCCAGUGGUGGAAUAUGAUACCUUUCUAAGAAAGUAAGGUAGGUUAAGAAACAAAACCAACACAAAUAAUAUAAGGAAAUAUUUUAUUCAGUGAUUUUUUACCUACAGCAAGCCAAAGGAAGACAAUAAUAAGAGUGGAAAUUAAUGGAAUAAGUAAUAGACAAAACAAUAGAGAAAAAUCAGUGAAGCCUAAAUCUAGUUCUUUGAAAAGGUCCACAAAAUUGUCAAAUCUUUAGCAAGAUGGAAUAAGAAAAAUAUCUGGGAUACUUAAUAUUAGAGUCAAAAAUGAAAGAGGAAACAUUACUACCAACAUUAUAGAAAUAAAACAUUUUAAAGGAAUACUAUGAACAACUGUAAGCCAAUAAGUAGACAGAUGAAAUGGAAAAAUUCCUAGAAAGAUACAAACUACUAAAAUGGAUUCAAAGAGAAAUGGCAAAUAUUGAAGUGGGUUAUAUAGGUUGAGCAUCUGUAACCCCAAAAUCUAACAUCUGAAUGCUCUAAAAUCUAAAACAUUUUUAGCACUGACAUAACACCACAAAGUGGAAGCUGCAUACUAUGAAAUUUUGUUUCAUAGUAUACACAAAAUUGCUAAAAAUAUAAAAUCUCUUCAGUGUAUGUGUGUAAGAUAUAUAAAAAAUAUAAAUGGACUCAUGUUUAUCUUGGGUCACUUCUUCUAGACAUCUCAUUAAGUACAUGCAGAUAUUACAAAAUCAAAAAAAAAUCUGAAAUCAAAUUUUGGAUAAGGAAUGCUGAACCUAUAAUUAAAAAUCAUUAACUGCCCAUAAUCAAAAGUCCAGGCCCAGAUGAUUUACUACUGAGUACUAACAAACAUGAAGGAAUUAACACUAAUUCUUUAUACACUUCAUCUAAAAUAGAAAAGGAAAAAGAUGGAAUACUUCUCAAUGCGUGCUAGGAGGACAGGAUUUCCUUGGUACCAAAAGCAAAGGCAUCACUAGAAAACUACAGACUAAUAUACUUUAUAAAUAUGAAUGCAAAUAACCCAGGCAUAUAGGUUGGUUAAGCAUCUGAAAAUCAAUAUAAUGUACCACUGCUGUAGAGUAAAAACAAAAUCACACAGUAUCAUCUCAAUAGGUAUAGAAAAAAAGCAUUUAUAAAGUGCAACACACACCUCCAACACACACACAUACACAGUUAAAAUGUGGAAUGAACUAGGAAUAAAAAGGAACUUCCUGAACUCAUUAAAUGGUGAAAGAAUGGAUGCUUUACCGUUAAGAUUGGAAAGAAAACAAAGAUGCCAGUGUCUCAACAUUGUACUGGAAUUCUACCCAGGGCAAUUAGGCAGGAAAAAGUCAUCUGGACUCGGAAUGAAAAAAAGAAAAUCAUUUCAAUUUGCAGAGGAGAUGAUCAUGUAUGUAGAAAACCUUAAGGAAUCCACAUCAAAUUUGUAUCUAAUAAAACAAAUUGAUCACAAUAUAGGAGAAUAUAAGAUCACUUUACAAGAGUCAAUUGUAUAUAUACUUGCAAUGAAAAAUCCAAAAUGACUUUUCAAGAAACAAUUCGAUUAACAAUAACUUCAAAAUAAUAAAACACUUAGGAAUAAAUUUAAGGAAAGGUAUAAAAAUUUAUACUUUGAAAAGGAAAAGACACUGUUGAAAGAAAUUUAAAAGUUCUAAAUAAAUGCAGCACCCUGUGCUCAUGGGUCAGAAAAUUUAAUAUUGUUAAGCCAGGAAUACCUCCUAAAAUGACUUACAGAUUCAAUGCAAUGUCUACAGGCUAUCAAGCUAGAUUUUCUUUAGAAAUUGACAAGCUGAUUCUAAGAUCGAUAUAGAAUUGCAAGUGAUCCAGAAUAGCUGAAAUAAUCUUGAGAAGAAAGAACAAAGUAGGAGGAUUCACAUUUCCUAAAUUCAAUUUGUAAUACAAAGCAAUGGUAAUCAUGACAGUGUUGUACUGGCAUAAGGAUAGUCAUACACACCAACGGGCUAGAAUAACACCAUAUGUCUAUGGUCAAUUGCUUCAUUUUAUUAUGAGAUCAGAUAUUUCUAAGUUUCCUGGGCUGUCCCCAAACUUGUUUUCCUCCUGUGUCAGUCUCAUGAAUAGCUAAGAUUACAAACAUACAACAAUGCCCACCAUCGACUGAUUUUUGACAGGAGUAUCAAGACCAUUCAGUGGGGGAAAGAACAGAUAGUUCCAGGACAACUGUAGAGCCACAUGUAAAAGGACUAAAUUGAACCAUUCUCUACACUAUGUUUAAAAUUAACUCAAAAUGGAUCAUAGACCUAAAUAGAGUUGCUACAGCUAUAAAAUUCUUACAAAAAGCAGAGGAGUAAAUGUUUAUGACUUCAGAUUCAGCAAAGAAUUUUCUUUAUACCACUAAAAGACUAAACACACAUACACACACACAAAACUUGGUUUCAUCAAAAUUAAAAGUUUUUGUGUUUCAAAAGAACCAUCUGCUUUAGUGAUUUUUCUGUCACUGGUACAAAAUCCUCAACACCUGCUACUUAAAGGAGAGGUUUAUUUUGCUGGUUUCUACUGGUCUCUGUCCAUGGCUCCAAGGAAGAAACAGCAUGAUUGAAGGGCAUCAUGGAGGACACCUGAUCACCCCAUGGCAACGAGGAAGCAGAGAAAGAGAAGGAACAAAAAUCCACCCACAUCACAUGAACAAUUUCUGAACACAAGACUUUUAGGGUACAUUUUAGAUUCAAGCCAUAACCGUGCCAUAGCUGGACAUGGCUAAACAUGUCUGUAAUCCCAGCAUGUUGGGAGGUGUGUUUAUAGCAGCAUUAUUCAUAACAACCAAAAUGUGGAAACAAUCCAAAUGUCCAUCUACUGAUGAAUGUAUGAACAAAAUGUGGCAUAUUCAUACCAUGGAAUAUUAUUUUGCCAUAAAAUGAAUAAAUUACUGAUACAUGCCAAAACAUAGAUGACUAUUAUGUUUCCAGAUGUCAAUUAUAAAGACCUCAUCUUAUAUGAUUAUAUUUAUUUGAAAUUUCCAGAAUAGGGAUAGCUAAAAUUACAGAAAGUAGAUGAGUAAUUGCUGAGGGGAAUUGAGAGGUGAUGGCUAAAAGGCAGGUAAUUUCCUUUUGAGAUGACGAAAAUGUUACAAUCUUUUUGAUAGCUACAUCAUGCGAAUAUGCUAAUGUAUUUGUGAAUUGUAUACUUAAAUGAGUGAGUUGUGUAUGAAUUAUAGCUCAAUAAAGCUGUUUAAAAACUAA